UGGGGAAUUUUGGACAAUGGGCGAAAGCCUGAUCCAGCAAUGCCGCGUGUGUGAAGAAGGCCUUCGGGUUGUAAAGCACUUUUGUCCGGAAAGAAAUCCUUGGCUCUAAUACAGUCGGGGGAUGACGGUACCGGAAGAAUAAGCACCGGCUAACUACGUGCCAGCAGCCGCGGUAAUACGUAGGGUGCAAGCGUUAAUCGGAAUUACUGGGCGUAAAGCGUGCGCAGGCGGUUUGCUAAGACCGAUGUGAAAUCCCCGGGCUCAACCUGGGAACUGCAUUGGUGACUGGCAGGCUAGAGUAUGGCAGAGGGGGGUAGAAUUCCACGUGUAGCAGUGAAAUGCGUAGAGAUGUGGAGGAAUACCGAUGGCGAAGGCAGCCCCCAUGGGCCAAUACUGACGCUCAUGCACGAAAGCGUGGGGAGCAAACAGGAUUCAGAUACCCUGGUAGUCCACGCCCUAAACGAUGUCAACUAGUUGUUGGGGAUUCAUUUCCUUAGUAACGUAGCUAACGCGUGAAGUUGACCGCCUGGGGAGUACGGUCGCAAGAUUAAAACUCAAAGGAAUUGACGGGGUCAUAGCUGUUUCC
RNAcentral lists this ribosomal RNA (586 nucleotides) under uncultured bacterium. RNAcentral's name for it is "partial 16S ribosomal RNA". It matches the Rfam family "Bacterial small subunit ribosomal RNA", at positions 355 to 937 of the family's 1533-position model. The record is from RNAcentral.